Betta splendens (Siamese fighting fish) is the source of this 2333-nucleotide long non-coding RNA. RefSeq lists it as uncharacterized. The transcript is spliced from 3 exons. NCBI's taxonomy places the organism in Eukaryota, Metazoa, Chordata, Actinopteri, Anabantiformes, Osphronemidae. The record is from RefSeq and is a predicted model, not a curated record.
UGAGCACCACCGAAGAAGACACUGCGCCACGUAGGGUCAAGGGUCAAGACGGUAGCAAUGGAGAGAUGGAGACGUUAUUAUUCACAAUCAUUCAGUAGUUAAAACACAACGUGCAACGUCCACCUGAACAGGUCUCUAGAGAUGUCCGCCUUACAUGUACCGUAUGGCUGCAGACAAAUAUGUAUAACUGCAGCCAGAGAGAGAAUUCUUCAGCUCAGUCCUGGUUUUAACCAAACCUGGGCCUGUGAGACCUGGACUGUCGGCUUGAAGCUCACACACUCAGAGGUCAAACCUUUAAAGGGAGUGAAGACACAAAAGACGAAAAAGCAGCUUAAAGUUCUAAGAAGAAAACUGUUUAACCUCUGCUGACCCACUGGCUCUGAUUAAAGGAAGAUUCCCCUGUUUUUCCUGUGGACCUGCUGUUUGCCCUGCCAGCCUUUUAACCCCCUGAUCACCUCCAAGCGCACGCAGACACACACAGGAAACACAGCCCAAAGACUCAGCAGGUGAGCUGUUGUUUCAAAAGUUUCACACUCGCUGUCGUCGUCAUCAUCAUCAUCAUCAUCAUCAUCAUCAUCAUCCCUUUGUCAGAGCUGUGCUGUUAUGUAAUAUGUAUCCAAGGAGAAGGUGCCUCUCGUACCAGAACCUUGCAGAGGAAGAGCUAAGCUUCUGGAGGAGGGCGGGUCCGACUCCCUGCCCUCCCACAGCUGACUGGUCAUCUGCGAGCACAGAUUUUGGCUGUACGGCCCCCUGCUGUCUCAUUAUGUGUUCCUCCACCUGUAGCCUCUCAGGGACUGUGUCUGUGUGUUUCCACCGUGUGUUUGCAGGGGUUACAUCCACAGCCGCUGGGUGCCUGCUCAACUUUUGUUACUGCAGACAAAGCUUCAUCCUGCCGUUCCUCGCUACUUCUUUAGGUGGACGACUGAGCCCAUAGCUGUCAAGAGUUCAAAUACUAAGACCAUCAUUACCGUCUUCAUCACCUGGACAGGUCACCACUGCAUCACACUAUGACUCAGUGAAUGACCAAACUGAUUGUCAUUUUAUGGACCUCAUGUUUGCAUCACAAACAAACACGCUUUCAAUAUUUACUGUCCAGGCGCAUUUGAACUUGCUGCCAGUCCUCACUGAACUCCAGACGUUUAUGCCAUUGAGAGACGUGAAAGACAGAAAAGAAAAGAGAGAAAACAGGAUUUGUGUGGAGGAAUGUCCCAGGGAGCAGGGAGAGAGUUAACCCUCAGCCAGUCAGUUAAUCCUCUUACUGUCUGUGUUCUCCUCUGACACGUUAACCAGGCAGAGAACACUAAUCCUCUACAGAGCAUAACAGCGCCGCUGCUCCGGGCAGGAGGCAAAAAAAGACCAGGCAGAAAGAAAGGAAGAAAAGAAGGAAGGAGGGAAGUAGGAAAAGGAAAGAUGAUGGAAACAAGGCAGGAAGAUGUUAGUAAAACAGGGAAUGAAGAGUAUGAGGCUGACAGGGCCAAGGGUGGAAGGUGACGUACAGACAGAAAGAAAGGAGUGAUGAAGACAGUGAAUGAAGGCUUGGUAGCAGGUAUCAGGAAGAAUGGAUGGUCUCCGUUGUCCUGCGUCGGUCCUCGUCUCCUCCUCGUCUCCGUUAAGCACAAUAACGUCGCAGCAGGACGCCUCAGGUUGGUUAUUUCAAUCGGAGGAGCCUGGUGGGCGUUUAGCUGAUUACUGCCCCAUCCAUCUCAGCUCAGGAUUUGGCUGCGGGCCUCAGGAAAACUUCAGGAGUGUUUGUUUUUUAUUAGCCUGAGCACAAACGUUGAAGUUUGACUGUGACACAUGCAGAGCGGAGUUAAAUUUACUCCUAGCAGAGGCUGAGUAAAUAUAGAAGAGUUUUGGAUCCGGUCCAUUAAAGCCUCACCGGCCCUGUUCAGGAUUCAGGACGGUGCCUUCACAAACAAAUAAAAAACAAUACACACUUUCACAGACGGUAAUGUUCCCAAUGUAGAAACUGGUUUUACUCCCAGUCCUCCUGGUUCUGGGUCACACACCAGCCUGGUUUGCCACUGAUGUUAGAUUACAUUGGUUCUGCUACUACCCAAACCUGCACACCACCAGGUGUCACUUCAAAUAACAGUGGAGCAAGUCAGACACUAGACAGAGUCAGAAUCUGGACCCAGGUUUAGAAAAUAGCUAACAGCAGCAUAUACUGUACUGUAGUAGCUAACAGCUAAUGUUAGCUAACAGCAGCUAACGGCUAUUAGAAGCUAAUAGUAGCUAACAGCAGCUAACAGUUGAUGAUAGCUUUGUAGGUUUAGUUCAUGUUCUGUUUUGUCAUGUUGACUUUAUGGUGUUGAUUAAACUAUUUUCUUUGU